UGUCACUCAGGUGUGCCCAGGUGUCACUCAGGUGUCACUCAGGUGUCUCUCAGGUGUCACUCGGGUCACUCAGGUGUCACUCAGGGGUCACUCAGGGGUCACUCAGGUGUGCCCAGGUGCCCGCAGGUGACCCCAGGUGCCCCCGCACAGGUGGCCCUGCGCUCGCUGCCCGAGGAGGCGGUGAAGGAGGGGUCACUCAGGUGUCACUCAGGUGUCACUCAGGGGUCACUCAGCUGUCACUCAGGUGUCACUCAGGUGUGC
Long non-coding RNA from Corvus hawaiiensis (hawaiian crow), 261 nucleotides. RefSeq lists it as uncharacterized. The transcript has 3 exons. NCBI's taxonomy places the organism in Eukaryota, Metazoa, Chordata, Aves, Passeriformes, Corvidae. The record is from RefSeq and is a predicted model, not a curated record.